RNAcentral lists this RNase P RNA (322 nucleotides) under Nanobdellota archaeon. Its description in RNAcentral is "RNase P RNA component". It matches the Rfam family "Archaeal RNase P". From Rfam's summary of the family: Ribonuclease P (RNase P) is a ubiquitous endoribonuclease, found in archaea, bacteria and eukarya as well as chloroplasts and mitochondria. Its best characterised activity is the generation of mature 5'-ends of tRNAs by cleaving the 5'-leader elements of precursor-tRNAs. Lineage: Archaea; Nanobdellati; Nanobdellota. The record is from RNAcentral.
GUAAGUCGGGUAGUUGACUUCGGGACUAGAUAUUAAGUUAUCAAAAAUCGAAAUAUAGAUUUUAGUUCUGAGGAAGGUCCGCCCACCAUAAUAUAAGUCAUUUGUAGAAAUGCAAAUUGCCGUGAGGUAAAGCUCCGGAACAGAAAUGACACAGCUCGUCUUGAGUAAUGAAGACAUGGUUGGAACUUUGAGAGACGAGAUUUGAUGAAACAGCCGUCUUGACUGGUGCAAGGCUUUAUGCUGCAUAGUGGAAUGUCAACACGUUCUGUCAGACUGCGAAAGCAGACUGAGAACGACAGAAGGUGGCCUAUUCCCGACUUAC